Molecule: ribosomal RNA, 489 nt
Filed under: uncultured bacterium
Lineage: Bacteria
Description: bacterial SSU rRNA
Rfam family: Bacterial small subunit ribosomal RNA
Source: RNAcentral
AGAGUUUGAUCCUGGCUCAGGAUGAACGCUGGCGGCGUGCUUAACACAUGCAAGUCGAACGGGGAAUGCUUUGACAGAGACUUCGGUUGAAGUCGUUGUAUUCCUAGUGGCGGACGGGUGAGUAACGCGUGGGUAACCUGCCUCAUACAGGGGGAUAACAGUUAGAAAUGACUGCUAAUACCGCACAAGACCACAGCACCGCAUGGUGCAGGGGUAAAAAUUCCGGUGGUGUGGGAUGGGCCCGCGUUGGAUUAGCCAGUUGGCAGGGUAACGGCCUACCAAAGCGACGAUCCAUAGCCGGCCUGAGAGGGUGAACGGCCACAUUGGGACUGAGACACGGCCCAGACUCCUACGGGAGGCAGCAGUGGGGAAUAUUGCACAAUGGGGGAAACCCUGAUGCAGCGACGCCGCGUGAAGGAAGAAGUAUCUCGGUAUGUAAACUUCUAUCAGCAGGGAAGAAGAUGACGGUACCUGACUAAGAAGCCCCGG